GAUGAACGCUGGCGGCGUGCCUAAUACAUGCAAGUCGAGCGAACAGACGAGGAGCUUGCUCCUCUGACGUUAGCGGCGGACGGGUGAGUAACACGUGGAUAACCUACCUAUAAGACUGGGAUAACUUCGGGAAACCGGAGCUAAUACCGGAUAAUAUAUUGAACCGCAUGGUUCAAUAGUGAAAGACGGUUUUGCUGUCACUUAUAGAUGGAUCCGCGCCGCAUUAGCUAGUUGGUAAGGUAACGGCUUACCAAGGCAACGAUGCGUAGCCGACCUGAGAGGGUGAUCGGCCACACGGGAACGGAGCCACGGUCAAGACUCCUACGGGAGGCAGCAGUAGGGAAUCUUCCGCAAUGGGCGAAAGCCUGACGGAGCAACGCCGCGUGAGUGAUGAAGGUCUUCGGAUCGUAAAACUCUGUUAUUAGGGAAGAACAAAUGUGUAAGUAACUAUGCACGUCUUGACGGUACCUAAUCAGAAAGCCACGGCUAACUACGUG
Molecule: ribosomal RNA, 497 nt
Filed under: uncultured bacterium
Lineage: Bacteria
Description: partial 16S ribosomal RNA
Rfam family: Bacterial small subunit ribosomal RNA
Source: RNAcentral